RNAcentral lists this long non-coding RNA (652 nucleotides) under Homo sapiens (human). RNAcentral's name for it is "HSALNT0341240". Lineage: Eukaryota; Metazoa; Chordata; Mammalia; Primates; Hominidae. The record is from RNAcentral.
AGCACCUCAGCGAUGUAACCCUCCUAUAAUGCUAGAGCUCUUUCCAGGCAGAGUGUGAUUUAUUGCUAGUGAAGCACUCAGCACCUGAGUGAUUUGACUCUCCUGCCUUGGCCCAGUCCACAGAUAGCAUUAUGACAUGUUGCUGAACCCGGCACCUAGGAGAUGUGACUUUAUUUUCCUGCCUUGGUACUGCCCACAGUUGUGUCCACAGGAGCGAUUUUGAUGUAUUGCUGGGCCGAACACAAAGGUGAUGUAAGUUUUCUGCCUUGGCCCUACCAAAAGAAAGCAUUGGGACAUAUUGGUGGACCCAGAACCAAGGUGCUGUGAGUCUCCUACCUGGAUCCUGGCUGCAGGAAGCAUUGUGCCAUAUCUCUGCACUCAUCAACUAUUUGGUGGAGUGCUCUUCUCUUGCUUGGGCUUAUCCCAUUGGAGAUAUUGUGAUGUAUCUCUGGGCCCAUCGCCUAGAUUACAUGGCACUCGUUUUCUUCCUGGGACCUAUCCACAGUGAAGAUUGUGACAUAUCGGUAGACCCAGCACCUACAUGAUGUGACUUUCUUCUCAUACUGGGGUCAUGCCCACUGUGGUGAUUGUGACAUAUAACUGGGCCCAAACCCUUGGUUUUGUGACUCUCCUUUUUUUCUGAGCCCUACAC